GAGGUGGAAUUUUACUAAUUUAGCCCUCCACCAACUCCCUUGUACCGGUACACGGGAUCCUGUACCGGUACAAGAGCCAACCCGAGAGCAGUUGAGCUGUUUCGCGCUGGUUGUACCGGUACAGCCACCAAGCUUGUACCGGUACAGCAAGCAGAAAAAAAAACUGCUGUUUGCAGAAUUCUUCGCGAUAAGCUGCCCUCGCGUCGCACGGAGUCCGUUUUACGUCUAUUUGACGUCAACGCGACUCAGACUUGUCCCGACACUCUCCAGAGCUGUCGACAAGCCUACACAGUCAAACACCAGGGAUCUCACAAAAACAAAAGAUGAAAAUCACCAAAAUAUGC
This 344-nucleotide long non-coding RNA is filed under the name Ananas comosus (pineapple). Its description in RNAcentral is "long non-coding RNA (ACOM_LNC017148)". Lineage: Eukaryota; Viridiplantae; Streptophyta; Magnoliopsida; Poales; Bromeliaceae. The record is from RNAcentral.